AGCUCAUUUGGGAGAGCGCCGCCCUUGCACGGCGGAGGUAGCCGGUUCGACCCCGGUC
This 58-nucleotide transfer RNA is filed under the name Candidatus Omnitrophota bacterium. Its description in RNAcentral is "Candidatus Omnitrophica bacterium tRNA-Ala". It matches the Rfam family "tRNA", at positions 9 to 64 of the family's 71-position model. Rfam says of the family: Transfer RNA (tRNA) molecules are approximately 80 nucleotides in length. The record is from RNAcentral. Lineage: Bacteria; Pseudomonadati; Candidatus Omnitrophota.